GUCGUACAGUCACAUGAAACAUUUUGUUUGUUCGCUGUAGUGAUAUUUUAAUGGCAUCGUUCAUUCGCGUUUUUAUAAACGUACUUACUUUUUCGUUGAUUUACGUGGGUAAAAAAUAAAAAUGCAAAAAGUCGCAGAUGAGAGAAGGGUUAUCCACGUAUCCCAUACAACCAUCACAGUCCGUCAACACUAUCGGCACUUUUUGUUAUUUGCGUUAAUCAAACUCAUUACGAU
This is a non-coding RNA of Cinara cedri, 234 nucleotides long. The record is from the annotation of a GenBank genome assembly. NCBI's taxonomy places the organism in Eukaryota, Metazoa, Arthropoda, Insecta, Hemiptera, Aphididae.